UUGCACGCUGGCGGCCGGCCUAACCCCUGCACGUCGAGCGGAUGAAGGGAGCUUGCUCCUGGAUUCAGCGGCGGACGGGUGAGUAAUGCCUAGGAAUCUGCCUGGUAGUGGGGGAUAACGUCCGGAAACGGGCGCUAAUACCGCAUACGUCCUGAGGGAGAAAGUGGGGGAUCUUCGGACCUCACGCUAUCAGAUGAGCCUAGGUCGGAUUAGCUAGUUGGUGGGGUAAAGGCCUACCAAGGCGACGAUCCGUAACUGGUCUGAGAGGAUGAUCAGUCACACUGGAACUGAGACACGGUCCAGACUCCUACGGGAGGCAGCAGUGGGGAAUAUUGGACAAUGGGCGAAAGCCUGAUCCAGCCAUGCCGCGUGUGUGAAGAAGGUCUUCGGAUUGUAAAGCACUUUAAGUUGGGAGGAAGGGCAGUAAGUUAAUACCUUGCUGUUUUGACGUUACCAACAGAAUAAGCACCGGCUAACUUCGUG
Molecule: ribosomal RNA, 483 nt
Filed under: uncultured bacterium
Lineage: Bacteria
Description: partial 16S ribosomal RNA
Rfam family: Bacterial small subunit ribosomal RNA
Source: RNAcentral